AACGAACGCUGGCGGCAGGCCUAACACAUGCAAGUCGAGCGAGGUAGCAAUACCUAGCGGCGGACGGGUGAGUAACGCGUGGGAACGUACCCUUUGCUACGGAAUAGCCCCGGGAAACUGGGAGUAAUACCGUAUGUGCCCUUCGGGGGAAAGAUUUAUCGGCAAAGGAUCGGCCCGCGUUGGAUUAGGUAGUUGGUGGGGUAAUGGCCUACCAAGCCGACGAUCCAUAGCUGGUUUGAGAGGAUGAUCAGCCACACUGGGACUGAGACACGGCCCAGACUCCUACGGGAGGCAGCAGUGGGGAAUCUUAGACAAUGGGCGCAAGCCUGAUCUAGCCAUGCCGCGUGAGUGAUGAAGGCCUUAGGGUUGUAAAGCUCUUUCAGAUGGGAAGAUAAUGACGGUACCAUCAGAAGAAGCCCCGGCUAACUCCGUGCCAGCAGCCGCGGUAAAGUACAGUGU
This 459-nucleotide ribosomal RNA is filed under the name uncultured bacterium. RNAcentral describes it as "bacterial SSU rRNA". It matches the Rfam family "Bacterial small subunit ribosomal RNA", at positions 29 to 533 of the family's 1533-position model. The record is from RNAcentral.